RNAcentral lists this long non-coding RNA (1265 nucleotides) under Sorghum bicolor (sorghum). RNAcentral describes it as "long non-coding RNA (SBIC_LNC005836)". Lineage: Eukaryota; Viridiplantae; Streptophyta; Magnoliopsida; Poales; Poaceae. The record is from RNAcentral.
CACAUCUUGCACUUCGGGAAGUAAAUCAAUCUAAAGUUUUUUUAGACUUAUAGGAAAUAUUAUUAACAUUUGCAUCUCUAAUUAAGUUUACUAUAGAAAUAUAUGACAUGAUUAAUAUAUUUUUUUUCUAGCUAGUAUUAUAAUAUCUGAUAACUUAUGUUGUUUCUUGUCCUGGUUUAAUAAUUUAUAUACUUGCGUUUGGUAGGGAUAUCUGAAUCGUAAUUAAUCCAUGCAACUGUUUGAUUAGCUUGCUGGAUUCUUGAAACUAAAACUAGAAUCUAAAAUAUUUCUGGGUGUGCCAAACACACUGAAUUGUUUCGUUUUUGGCACUCUUAGACCUUAAACAUAAUUCUGGUGAGUUUAGCUAAUUAAUCUUGGCCAGUUGGCCUGGCCUUCCAGAUGCAUGGACCAACUGGCCUUGUUUAGUUUAUCCCGAAAUCCAAAAAGUUUUUUCAAAAUUCCCCGUCACAUCGAAUCUUGCGGCACAUGCAUGAAGCAUUAAAUAUAGACGAAAACAAAAACUAAUUACACAGUUUGUCUGUAAAUCACGAGACGAAUCUUUUGAUCCUAAUUAAUUUAUGAUUGAACAAUAUUUGUCAAAUAAAAACAAAAAUACUAUAGUAACGAAAUCCGAAAUUUUUUCGGAACUAAACAAGGCCUAAGGGUGAACCGGUGCUGACCCACAAAUGCAAGUACAGCUUUUCAUGCUAGAUCGUUGGUCUAGGUCACGGCCGCAGUACCACAGACUCCCAGUCUGAAGUUACCAAAUGGUCAGUCAAUGCUGGAGUUCAGUGAGACAGGGUUCACGUACACCACCAAUGCAUCAGGCUUCAUCAUACGAAUGAGUGACAAAAAAAAAAAAAUGAAAUUUCAUACUACAUCUUAACACAAACUGGAUCUAUAUACAGAAUUGUUUUUGCCUAAUUGUGUUGCAUGCAUCACAGCAUGAGUAUACUAACACAUCACAUAAAAUGUCGAGACAUGUUUUUUCUCCACUUCACUGGAGGUAAAGCGGAAACACCAGUGCAGUUCUGAACAUUGAUUUUUGUUUUCCGGGUGAGGAAAGAAAGAAGGAAAUAGGCCUGCUGUCUGCACAUCGAUCGGGUGUCGGAAAGAAAGAAAGAAGCAAAACAUGCAUCCGGAUUAUGCGUAAUCAUUUGGGCCGUUCUGGGAGCUGAAAAGAUCCGGUCCAUUAAUUGAUUAUGAUAUCUUUUGGCCAGGCGCUAGCGGUUGCUUUUUCGCAGACAGGUUGAGAAGACAAGGCG